This is a long non-coding RNA of Zingiber officinale, 889 nucleotides long. RefSeq lists it as uncharacterized. NCBI's taxonomy places the organism in Eukaryota, Viridiplantae, Streptophyta, Magnoliopsida, Zingiberales, Zingiberaceae. The transcript is spliced from 2 exons. The record is from RefSeq and is a predicted model, not a curated record.
AUUUCCGGAUCCGCUGCUCCUUCGCUGGUUCUGCCGCCUGAUUCGGAUUCUGGAUUCCCCUAUUUUCUCUCUCUUUUUUUGGUUUUGGUGAAGUUAAUCGGAUGUUUCUUGUCUUGGAUCUGAAGUCUGAGUUAUUUUGCUGGUUCUGCCGCCUGACUCGGAUUUUGGAUUCCCCUAUUUUCUCUCUCUUUUUUUUUGGUUUUGGUGAAGUUAAUCGGAUGUUUCUUGUCUUGGAUCUGAAGUCUGAGUUAUUCAUGAUUGGAGACUCGUGAAAGAUCUCAAUUUGAUCGUGAGAUUCCAUGGCUGAAAUUUGACUGCUAGUGAUGACUUGCAAUUUCUUUCGAACACGAUGAACUAUUCCCUUCCGUCGCUUCCGUUCGUUCGAAAUCAAUUUGAUUGUAAACGUUCAUCUUGGUUCAUGUUGUUGAUAGUAUGUGAAUGUAGGUCGAUUUCUCUGGAUACUGGGUUCUUUUCUUGCUGUACCUUUAUGACUAAGGGUAAUAUGAUUCAUCGAUUAACUAGUCAAUCGAUUAGCUCUAGUUCAGCUUGCUUUAUUUUAUUCUGAUUUUUGUGCUUUACUGCCCCUGCGACCGAAAUCUGAGGCAGAAACCAAAAAGGAGAAGUUUACUCAAAUCGUUUUAAUCUGGUUGUUGAAUCCAGAGAGUGGUACCUGCCGAUUAGUUAUUACUAAGAAGAGAAAACUGUAUGGUGCACCUACUUCUGCCCGGAUGAUCAAUAUUUAUGGAUAUCUUUUAAGUUGUAAAUUUUGUGGUUCUGUUUCAUGCCCUUGUAUCUCAGUGAAAAAAAAAUGUAUUGGCAGCCUGAUCUGACAAUGAAUUGUCAUAUUACAGUUCGUGAUGCAGAAUGAUUAGUUCUAUCUUUUUCAGAA